Molecule: ribosomal RNA, 403 nt
Filed under: uncultured bacterium
Lineage: Bacteria
Description: bacterial SSU rRNA
Rfam family: Bacterial small subunit ribosomal RNA
Source: RNAcentral
GAUGAACGCUGGCGGCGUGCUUAACACAUGCAAGUCGAACGAAGCGAUAGAAACGGAACAUUUCGGUGGGAAGUAUUUAUUGACUGAGUGGCGGACGGGUGAGUAACGCGUGGAUAACCUGCCUCAUACAGGGGGAUAACAGUUAGAAAUGACUGCUAAUACCGCAUAAGCGCACAGGACCGCAUGGUCUGGUGUGAAAAACUCCGGUGGUAUGAGAUGGAUCCGCGUCUGAUUAGCUAGUUGGAGGGGUAACGGCCCACCAAGGCAACGAUCAGUAGCCGGCCUGAGAGGGCGACCGGCCACAUUGGGACUGAGACACGGCCCAAACUCCUACGGGAGGCAGCAGUGGGGAAUAUUGCACAAUGGGGGAAACCCUGAUGCAGCGACGCCUUGGUAAGCCUUU